UACAGAGGGGGCAAGCGUUGUUCGGAAUUACUGGGCGUAAAGGGCGCGUAGGCGGCCUGCUAAGUCGAACGUGAAAUCCCUGGGCUCAACCCAGGAACUGCGUCCGAUACUGGUUGGCUUGAAUUCGGGAGAGGGAUGCAGAAUUCCAGGUGUAGCGGUGAAAUGCGUAGAUAUCUGGAGGAAUACCGGUGGCGAAGGCGGCAUCCUGGACCGAGAUUGACACUGAGUGAGCGAAAGCCAGGGGAGCAAACGGG
Molecule: ribosomal RNA, 254 nt
Filed under: uncultured bacterium
Lineage: Bacteria
Description: partial 16S ribosomal RNA
Rfam family: Bacterial small subunit ribosomal RNA
Source: RNAcentral